Molecule: ribosomal RNA, 558 nt
Filed under: Fusarium sp. Leaf seedling-1
Lineage: Eukaryota; Fungi; Ascomycota; Sordariomycetes; Hypocreales; Nectriaceae
Description: eukaryotic LSU rRNA
Rfam family: 5.8S ribosomal RNA (bases 179-332)
Source: RNAcentral
UCCGUAGGUGAACCUGCGGAGGGAUCAUUACCGAGUUUACAACUCCCAAACCCCUGUGAACAUACCAAUUUUUGCCUCGGCGGAUCAGCCCGCUCCCGGUAAAACGGGACGGCCCGCCAGAGGACCCCUAAACUCUGUUUCUAUAUGUAACUUCUGAGUAAAACCAUAAAUAAAUCAAAACUUUCAACAACGGAUCUCUUGGUUCUGGCAUCGAUGAAGAACGCAGCAAAAUGCGAUAAGUAAUGUGAAUUGCAGAAUUCAGUGAAUCAUCGAAUCUUUGAACGCACAUUGCGCCCGCCAGUAUUCUGGCGGGCAUGCCUGUUCGAGCGUCAUUUCAACCCUCAAACCCCCGGGUUUGGUGUUGGGGAUCGGCGAGCCUCACGGCAAGCCGGCCCCGAAAUAUAGUGGCGGUCUCGCUGCAGCUUCCAUUGCGUAGUAGUAAAACCCUCGCAACUGGUACGCGGCGCGGCCAAGCCGUUAAACCCCCAACUUCUGAAUGUUGACCUCGGAUCAGGUAGGAAUACCCGCUGAACUUAAGCAUAUCAAUAAGCGGAGGAA